This 253-nucleotide ribosomal RNA is filed under the name uncultured bacterium. Its description in RNAcentral is "partial 16S ribosomal RNA". It matches the Rfam family "Bacterial small subunit ribosomal RNA", at positions 524 to 776 of the family's 1533-position model. The record is from RNAcentral.
UACAGAGGGGGCGAGCGUUGUUCGGAAUUACUGGGCGUAAAGGGCGCGUAGGCGGCCUUCUAAGUCGAACGUGAAAUCCCCGGGCUCAACCCGGGAACUGCGUCCGAUACUGGCGGGCUUGAAUCCGGGAGAGGGAUGCGGAAUUCCAGGUGUAGCGGUGAAAUGCGUAGAUAUCUGGAGGAACACCGGUGGCGAAGGCGGCAUCCUGGACCGGCAUUGACGCUGAGGCGCGAAAGCUAGGGGAGCAAACGGG